RNAcentral lists this long non-coding RNA (290 nucleotides) under Elaeis guineensis (African oil palm). Its description in RNAcentral is "long non-coding RNA (EGUI_LNC015298)". Lineage: Eukaryota; Viridiplantae; Streptophyta; Magnoliopsida; Arecales; Arecaceae. The record is from RNAcentral.
GCUCGGCUCCGAGCUCCCACGCUCCCGCCACCUUCGCCUCCACCGCCUACUUCUCCCGCGGCCGCUGGCACGCGCUCGGCUCCGAGCUCCGUGCACGCUUACCUACCUCUCGCCGGAUGCCGGCACGCGAAGAGCAAUGUAGGCAUCUCAGGAGAAAGGGACUGAGAGGCCUCGGAGGCAUCCACGUGAUAGAAAGAAAGAGAGGAAGAAAUGGGUGGGUGUUACUUUACUAUCGAGGCGCCGACGAGGAGAGGCUCCGGCGGCGGCCACCGGAAGUCAGUUAACACGGC